AAUAAUUUUAUGCCACAUCAGUACUUUUAUCCUGAAUUUCAGGAUUUUAUCCUGAAAAAAUCAAAUCUAAAUUAAAAUAUUGAAAUUUAGGAUAAGAAUACUGAUGUGGCAUAAAACUAUU
RNAcentral lists this microRNA precursor (121 nucleotides) under Gossypium hirsutum (cotton). RNAcentral describes it as "MIR7504 microRNA precursor family". It matches the Rfam family "MIR7504 microRNA precursor family". Lineage: Eukaryota; Viridiplantae; Streptophyta; Magnoliopsida; Malvales; Malvaceae. The record is from Rfam by way of RNAcentral.